AGGUGUCAUACUCACAAGAUCGCGAUGAAGCUUGUUCGGGGUGGAUUUGCUAAACAUUUACCGGAAUCGCUGUUUACGCGCCCUGUCAGUUGGGCUGUAGGCAGUUAAAUAUAAUAGACUGAACUAAGCAUGUAGAGCCUUUGGCAGCGGACUGACGGACGCGGGUUCAAUUCCCG
RNAcentral lists this small RNA (176 nucleotides) under uncultured Chlorophyceae. RNAcentral's name for it is "partial transfer-messenger RNA". It matches the Rfam family "transfer-messenger RNA", at positions 181 to 362 of the family's 374-position model. From Rfam's summary of the family: Bacterial tmRNA, also known as 10Sa RNA or SsrA, is named for its dual tRNA and mRNA-like properties. Its role is to liberate the mRNA from a stalled ribosome. The record is from RNAcentral. Lineage: Eukaryota; Viridiplantae; Chlorophyta; Chlorophyceae.